AUUGAACGCUGGCGGCAGGCCUAACACAUGCCAGUCGAACGGUAACAGGAAGAAGCUUGCUUCUUUGCUGACGAGUGGCGGACGGGUGAGUAAUGUCUGGGAAACUGCCUGAUGGAGGGGGAUAACUACUGGAAACGGUAGCUAAUACCGCAUAACGUCGCAAGACCAAAGAGGGGGACCUUCGGGCCUCUUGCCAUCGGAUGUGCCCAGAUGGGAUUAGCUAGUAGGUGGGGUAACGGCUCACCUAGGCGACGAUCCCUAGCUGGUCUGUGAGGAUGACCAGCCACACUGGAACUGAGACACGGUCCAGACUCCUACGGGAGGCAGCAGUGGGGAAUAUUGCACAAUGGGCGCAAGCCUGAUGCAGCCAUGCCGCGUGUAUGAAGAAGGCCUUCGGGUUGUAAAGUACUUUCAGCGGGGAGGAAGGGAGUAAAGUUAAUACCUUUGCUCAUUGACGUUACCCGCAGAAGAAGCACCGGCUAACUCCGUG
RNAcentral lists this ribosomal RNA (490 nucleotides) under uncultured bacterium. RNAcentral's name for it is "partial 16S ribosomal RNA". It matches the Rfam family "Bacterial small subunit ribosomal RNA", at positions 30 to 507 of the family's 1533-position model. The record is from RNAcentral.